Molecule: ribosomal RNA, 253 nt
Filed under: uncultured Bacteroides sp.
Lineage: Bacteria; Pseudomonadati; Bacteroidota; Bacteroidia; Bacteroidales; Bacteroidaceae
Description: partial 16S ribosomal RNA
Rfam family: Bacterial small subunit ribosomal RNA
Source: RNAcentral
UACGGAGGAUCCGAGCGUUAUCCGGAUUUAUUGGGUUUAAAGGGAGCGUAGGUGGAUUGUUAAGUCAGUUGUGAAAGUUUGCGGCUCAACCGUAAAAUUGCAGUUGAAACUGGCAGUCUUGAGUACAGUAGAGGUGGGCGGAAUUCGUGGUGUAGCGGUGAAAUGCUUAGAUAUCACGAAGAACUCCGAUUGCGAAGGCAGGUCUCUGGGCCGCAACCGACGCUGAGGCGCGAAAGCUAGGGGAGCGAACAGG